GGGGCUGUUUUGGUUUUGACAGCGCUGAUAUCGGACGGUAAGCACGUCGGGCGUGGGAGCCUAGCCCGUAAAUCUCAGACUCCGAACAUUCAGUUGCCAACAACAACUAUGCACUCGCUGCUUAAUCUGCCAUUGUAGAUUAACUUAAUCGGGGAGGCCAAGGCUGCCCCUCCGACGAGUAUCCCGCCAUGGUUUUCCGCCGGUUAUCGAUGGCAUACGGGGUAUCAUCCAAAUCGGACGCACGAAGCCUGACACCCCUGGGGCUUCGCCAAGAUCAGGGGAUAAGCGGCGGAUGGCCGGCCUUCCGGCAGUCCUCCGUCGAAAACCAAAGGAAGGCUAAACGUGUAGAAAGCUGCCUGGUGCGGUGUUUGGACGGCGGUUCGAGUCCGCCCAGCUCCACAA
Molecule: transfer-messenger RNA, 402 nt
Filed under: Bacteroidales
Lineage: Bacteria; Pseudomonadati; Bacteroidota; Bacteroidia
Also listed under: 1 other name
Description: Cryptobacteroides sp017961345 Standard tmRNA
Rfam family: transfer-messenger RNA
About the family: Bacterial tmRNA, also known as 10Sa RNA or SsrA, is named for its dual tRNA and mRNA-like properties. Its role is to liberate the mRNA from a stalled ribosome.
Source: RNAcentral